RNAcentral lists this non-coding RNA (830 nucleotides) under Paragnetina indentata. RNAcentral's name for it is "12S ribosomal RNA". The stretch from base 403 to 823 matches the Rfam family "Microsporidia small subunit ribosomal RNA", at positions 751 to 1303 of the family's 1311-position model. The record is from RNAcentral. Lineage: Eukaryota; Metazoa; Arthropoda; Insecta; Plecoptera; Perlidae.
AAAAAGUUUUAUUCUUGUUUAGAAGUUGACAUUAGGUUUGGUUUACAUGUAAAUUUUAGUGGAUAGAGGAGUAUAUCGGUUAAUAAUUUAUUCUUAAUGAAUUGAUUAUUGGAUAGAGCAGUGUUUAGUAUUAUAAAUUGAGGAGAUUUAGAUUUAGUGAAUUUGUUAGUAUCGGCCAAAAUCGUGCCAGCCGCCGCGGUUAUACGGGGGAUACAAGUUAACCUUUUUUGAUUUGAAGUUAAAUGAUUUUAUGGCCGGGAGAGGAUUCUUAAAUGUAUUUUUAGGUGAAAUUUUAAUGUAUUGAUAGUUAUUUUGAGGUUUGUAAGUUAGUUGAGGCUGAGAAAUUUAAGGAUUUAAACUAGGAUUAGAUACCCUAUUAUUUUAAAUGUAAAUUAAUUUAUCGGAGUAGUAGUAGUUAGGUUCUUGAAACUCAAAGAAUUUGGCGGUGUUUUAGUCCCUUCAGAGGAACCUGUCCCGUAAUCGAUAUUCCUCGUUAUAUCUUACUUGUUCAGGUUUUUGCAGUUUGUAUACCGCCGUCGUCAGAAUGUCCUAGCAGGGGAGCAAUUUUCCUAAGUUUCUAAAAUAUGAGAUGUCAGGUCAAGGUGCAGCUAAUGAAUAAGUGGAGAUGGGUUACAAUAAGUUGAUUUAAAUGGAUAGUGGUCUGAAAUAAUAGGUUGCUUGAAGGUGGAUUUGACUGUAAUUGUUAGUAUGGAAUAGCUGUGAAUUAUUUUAAGGCUCUAAAGCAUGCACACAUCGCCCGUCGCUCUCAUUAUUUAAGGUGAGAUAAGUCGUAACAUAGUAGAUGUACCGGAAGGUGUAUCUGGAAAGAU